RNAcentral lists this ribosomal RNA (1360 nucleotides) under uncultured bacterium. RNAcentral's name for it is "16S ribosomal RNA". It matches the Rfam family "Bacterial small subunit ribosomal RNA". The record is from RNAcentral.
GAGUUUGAUCCUGGCUCAGGACGAACGCUGGCGGCGUGCCUUAUGCAUGCAAGUCGAACGAGUUUCCCCGCAAGGGGAAAUUAGUGGCAGACGGCUGAGUAACACGUGAGCAACUAACCUUUGAGUGGGGAAUAAGCCGCCGAAAGGUGGUCUAAUACCGCAUACGCUUGCUCCUCGCAUGUGGAGCUUGGAAAGCCGAAAGGCGCUCUUAGACGGGCUUGCGGCCUAUCAGGUAGUUGGUGAGGUAACGGCCCACCAAGCCGAAGACGGGUAACUGGUCUGAGAGGACGGCCAGUCAGAAGGGGACUGAGACACGGCCCCUACUCCUACGGGAGGCAGCAGCAGGGAAUCUUGCACAAUGGGCGAAAGCCUGAUGCAGCGACGCCGCGUGAGGGAUGAAGGCUUUCGGGUCGUAAACCUCUUUUCCAGGGGAAGAAUAAUGACUGUACCUUGGGAAUAAGCCCCGGCUAACUACGUGCCAGCAGCCGCGGUAAUACGUAGGGGGCGAGCGUUGUCCGGAUUUACUGGGCGUAAAGGGCGUGUAGGUGGCUUGGCAAGUCUUUGUUGAAAUCUCCCGGCUUAACUGGGAGGAGUGCAGAGAUACUGCUUGGCUAGAGGGACGUAGGGGAGAGUGGAAUUCCCGGUGUAGCGGUGAAAUGCGUAGAUAUCUGGAGGAACACCGGUGGCGAAGGCGGCGAUCUGGCCCAACACUGACACUCAGACCCGAAAGUGCGGGGAUCAAACAGGAUUAGAUACCCUGGUAGUCCGCACCGUAAACGAUGGAUACUUGGUGUUGGAGGUAUUGACCCCUUCAGUGCCGAAGCUAACGCGUUAAGUAUCCCGCCUGGGAAGUACGGCCGCAAGGUUAAAACUCAAAGAAAUUGACGGGGGCCCGCACAAGCGGUGGAGCAUGUGGUUUAAUUCGAUGCAACGCGAAGAACCUUACCUAGGUUUGACAUGGAUUGGAAGGAUGGCAGAAAUGCCUCCGCUCGAAAGAGCCGAUUCACAGGUGCUGCAUGGCUGUCGUCAGCUCGUGUCGUGAGAUGUUGGGUUAAGUCCCGCAACGAGCGCAACCCCUGUGUUUAGUUGCCAGCAUUAGGUUGGGCACUCUAAACAGACUGCCGACGUUAAGUCGGAGGAAGGUGGGGAUGACGUCAAGUCCUCAUGGCCUUUAUAUCUAGGGCUACACACGUGCUACAAUGGUGAGUACAAAGGGAAGCAAAGUAGCAAUACCAAGCCAAUCCCAAAAAACUCAUCUAAGCUCGGAUUGGAGUCUGAAACUCGACUCCAUGAAGCUGGAAUCGCUAGUAAUCGCGGAUCAGAACGCCGCGGUGAAUACGUUCCCGGGCCUUGCACACAC